AUUGAACGCUGGCGGCAGGCCUAACACAUGCAAGUCGAACGGUAACAGGAAGAAGCUUGCUUCUUUGCUGACGAGUGGCGGACGGGUGAGUAAUGUCUGGGAAACUGCCUGAUGGAGGGGGAUAACUACUGGAAACGGUAGCUAAUACCGCAUAACGUCGCAAGCCCAAAGAGGGGGACCUUCGGGCCGCUUGCCAUCGGAUGUGCCCAGAUGGGAUUAGCUAGUAGGUGGGGUAACGGCUCACCUAGGCGACGAUCCCUAGCUGGUCUGAGAGGAUGACCAGCCACACUGGAACUGAGACACGGUCCAGACUCCUACGGGAGGCAGCAGUGGGGAAUAUUGCACAAUGGGCGCAAGCCUGAUGCAGCCAUGCCGCGUGUAUGAAGAAGGCCUUCGGGUUGUAAAGUACUUUUAGCGGGGAGGAAGGGAUUUAAGUUAAUACCUUUACUCAUUGACGUUACCCGCAGAAGAAGCACCGGCUAACUCCGUG
This 490-nucleotide ribosomal RNA is filed under the name uncultured bacterium. Its description in RNAcentral is "partial 16S ribosomal RNA". It matches the Rfam family "Bacterial small subunit ribosomal RNA", at positions 30 to 507 of the family's 1533-position model. The record is from RNAcentral.